UACGUAGGGGGCUAGCGUUGUCCGGAUUUAUUGGGCGUAAAGAGCGUGUAGGCGGCCAGGUAGGUCUGGUGUGAAAACUCGAGGCUUAACCUCGAGAUGUCAUCGGAAACCAUUUGGCUAGAGUCCGGAAGAGGAGAGUGGAAUUCCUGGUGUAGCGGUGAAAUGCGCAGAUAUCAGGAGGAACACCGGUGGCGAAGGCGGAUCUCUGGGCCUUACCUGACGCUGAGGCGCGAAAGCUAGGGGAGCGAACAGG
RNAcentral lists this ribosomal RNA (253 nucleotides) under uncultured bacterium. RNAcentral describes it as "partial 16S ribosomal RNA". It matches the Rfam family "Bacterial small subunit ribosomal RNA", at positions 524 to 776 of the family's 1533-position model. The record is from RNAcentral.